This 262-nucleotide ribosomal RNA is filed under the name uncultured bacterium. RNAcentral describes it as "partial 16S ribosomal RNA". It matches the Rfam family "Bacterial small subunit ribosomal RNA", at positions 793 to 1055 of the family's 1533-position model. The record is from RNAcentral.
GUCCACGCCGUAAACGUUGGGCGCUAGGUGUGGGGCCAUUCCACGGUCUCCGUGCCGCAGCUAACGCAUUAAGCGCCCCGCCUGGGGAGUACGGCCGCAAGGCUAAAACUCAAAGGAAUUGACGGGGGCCCGCACAAGCGGCGGAGCAUGUUGCUUAAUUCGAUGCAACGCGAAGAACCUUACCUAGGCUUGACAUGUACGGAAAUCUCGCAGAGAUGCGGGGUGCCUUUGGCGUCGUGCACAGGUGGUGCAUGGUUGUCGU